UACGGAAGGUCCGGGCGUUAUCCGGAUUUAUUGGGUUUAAAGGGAGCGCAGGCCGCCUCUUAAGCGUGCUGUGAAAUCCCCCGGCUCAACCGGGGGUGUGCAGCGCGAACUGGGGGGCUUGAGUGCGCACAGGGCAGGCGGAAUUCGUGGUGUAGCGGUGAAAUGCUUAGAUAUCACGAGGAACUCCGAUCGCGAAGGCAGCCUGCCGGGGCGCUACUGACGCUGAGGCUCGAAGGUGCGGGUAUCGAACAGGAUUAGAUACCCUGGUAGUCCGCACGGUAAACGAUGGAUGCCCGCUGUGUGCCUAUUUUGGUGCGCGGCCAAGCGAAAGCGUUAAGCAUCCCACCUGGGGAGUACGCCGGCAACGGUGAA
This 372-nucleotide ribosomal RNA is filed under the name uncultured bacterium. Its description in RNAcentral is "bacterial SSU rRNA". It matches the Rfam family "Bacterial small subunit ribosomal RNA", at positions 524 to 898 of the family's 1533-position model. The record is from RNAcentral.